Molecule: long non-coding RNA, 2755 nt
Filed under: Gossypium barbadense (sea-island cotton)
Lineage: Eukaryota; Viridiplantae; Streptophyta; Magnoliopsida; Malvales; Malvaceae
Description: long non-coding RNA (GBAR_LNC009766)
Source: RNAcentral
UUGAUUGGAUCCAAUCCUAGACAUGCCCACAACCAUUGCCACACUUUGAUGCUAGGUUCGUUUUGAAAAAAAAACGAGUUGUAAUUCAUUUAAGUCGAUAUUUUUGAUAAACUGAUUAAUUGUAUCGAUGCGCUAUUUUGAAAAAAAUUAUCAUUUUGGAAAUGCGCCCUAGGUCUAACUCAUAUUGUUAUCAGAAAAAUAUAGGGUAUAAAAUAAAAUAAUCCCAGAAAAAUAAUUAAAAUGGCCUUAUUACAACCCAAAACCAAAUAAUAAUAUUAAUAAGAUAAAACUUAUAAAGAAAUAAAUCGGCUACUUAUUGCAAUUAAAAGAAACAAAAAUAGUAGUGUGGCCAUCUCCGAGUCCCUCGCAGCUCCAAACCAUCUAAGCUUAGGGAUUACCUGCACAGUUAGAAACGGGGUGAGUUUACGAAAACUCAGUGUGUAAUCCCAAUAACAAACAAACAAUGAAAACACAGUAUCAGUACGGGGCCAAAGCCUUAUUCAAUCUCGACAUAUACUGGGCCGAAGCUUUUCUUUUAACAGUUACUGGGCCGAAGCCUUUUCAUAAAUCAAAUCACUAGGGCGAAGCCUUUUCGUAAACGGUAUGGCCCAUAGGCCCAUUUCAAUAACACAUGAAAUAUCAAUGAAUGUAUGCAAGCCCAUUUCAAUAUCAUAUGAAAUACCAAUGAAUGUAUGCAAGCCCAUUUGGGGAGACUACUCAACCCACCAUCCGCUACUCUCUACCCGCACCAGCCAACACACCAUGUGGGGAAUGACUCAACUCAACUCACCCAACCAACACACCACUGGCAACAUAGCUGCUUUAUCAUAUAACUGGAGGCCUAGCCUCUUUUAAUAACUGCGGCAAAGCCCUUUUUUGAUAAACUGGGGCAAAGCCCUUUUCGGUAAACUGGGGCAAAGCCCUUUUCGGAAAACUGGGGCAUAGCCCUUUUAGCACUUCCUCCAUUUAUAAAACCCAACCCAUGCAACAUGUCAUGUAUGCAGAAUGUCAUGCCCAUAUUUGAAUGAAACAAUCACAGUCAAGUCAUUCAUAUCACCAACAUAUAUUCACAAUCAAAUCCGUCAACCACACAGUCCAAGUCAGUCACUUGCCCACAAGGGCAAAAUAGUCAUUUUUCACAUUAUAAGGGUAAUUUUGUAAUUUUACCAAAUAUCAGGGUUUUUCAUGUUCAUCAACAAUUAUCAAUAUUUUCGAGUGUUUAAAUAAUGAUCUUUAACCCAUUUUAUCAAACUCGGGCUUUUGGGCCCAAAACCUCUAAUGGGCCCUACGAAUGCCGAUUUAGCCCAUUAAGCCCACAUAAUCCAAAUUUUACAACAGUACUAACCGUGUUAACAUGUAACUUUUCCAGAUUCCAUUUUCUAUCAGUUUUACCCAAAUGGGCCCGAAGCCCAUUGGGCCCGAUUCCAGCCCAUUGAGGCCCAACUUACCACCGUGCACAAAACUGAGUUCUUACCUGUUCCAUCGAUCCAAACACCGAUCAUAUCAUAUUUAUCGUAUUUAUACCCAAACGCAACAUUACAAGUUCCUGAAAUACCGGUAUUUUAGCAUUUCGGCUUCUCAACAAAUAUUAAUCUAAGCUAUUACGAGGGUUAGUGCACACUUGUUACGGGUUGAAGUUGAAACGUUUCCAAAAUCAAUUGCCUACAAUAACCACCACCUAUCACUCAAACUUAACUAAUCCAAUAUCAAUAUAUGUAAAUCCUAAACACAUCAGUCAUACGGAACAUAAGGGCAUAUUCGUCAUUUUACCAUACAGGGGUAUUACGGUCACUUUACCCUACAGGGGCUUUAUGGUCACUUUACCCUACAGGGGCUUUACGGUCUUUUUACCUAAUAGGGGUAUUUUAGUCAUUUCAUCCUACAAGGGUGCUUUGGUAAAUCUACAAACCAAGGGUAUUUCAGUAAUUUUGUAAACCAAUGGUAUUUCCAUAAUUUUUAGAAAGUCAAGGGUAUUUCUGUAACUUUGUAAAUCAGGGGUAUUUUGGUAAUUACAAAUUUAGGGUAUUUCGGUAAUUUCACAAACCAGUGGUAUUUUGGUAAUUUUACAAACUAGGGGUAUUUUGGUAAUUUUACAAACUAGGGGUAUUUUAGCAAUUUUACAGACCAAUGUAUUUUGCUAAUUUUACUGAUCGAGGGUAUUUUAGUAAUUUUGUAAACCAAGGGUAUUUUAGUAAUUUUGUAAAUCGAGGGUAAAACAGUAAUUCUAUAAAUCAAGGGUAAAAUAGUAAUUCUAUAAAUCGAGGGUAAAACGGUAAUUUUGUAAAUCGAGGGUAAAAUGGUAAUUUUGUAAGUCGAGGGUAAAAUGGUAAUUCUAUAAAUCGAGGGUACUUUGGUAAUUUUACAAUUUGAGGGUAUUUCAGUAAUUUGGUAAACUAAAAUAUUCUAAACAGGGAUAACAAUACGAAUGGGCCUAAAGCCUAUUCUCGGCCCAAAUGGGCCCACACGCUCGUGUGGCUCUUUUAGCCUAAAUCUAGCCACAGAUAUGAGAUUCACCUAGCCUAGUCUAAUAUUUACUACACAAUCAAACAACUUAUCCAAUUGGGCUCGUAGGCCUAUUGGGCCCACAUGACCCCUUUCGGCCCAUCGCGGCCCGAAGUAGUCAUCCUACAGCUAGAGUAGCGAGAAAUACACACCUGAUUGGCGACUGGAGUUAAUCCACGCUCCGAGCACUCUUAGCCGACGCCCAACCCAAACGAGCACGCCAUACAGCGAAAGGGAUCAGCCAAGAAAGGUA